AGAAGGUCAUCUCACUAAAUACCCAUAUCACCUCUUUAGGCAGAUGUUCCUGGAGAAAGCCCUCUGAUGAGGAGAUCGAUGUCACAGCUGUCUCCAAAGGACCCUCAGGUGGGACAAGGGCCAGGAUUGAAGCUGACGGGGAGACAUACCAAAAGGAAUGAGGGCUUUAUUUAUGUAUGCCACUACAGCAGCAAGAAUGUUGAUUGCACAAAAUUGGAAGACUGGAGAAAUACCAACUAAAGAACAAUGGCAAGAGAAGUUGAUGAACUAUGCAGAACUGGCAAAAAUGACAGAAAGACUAAGAGAAAAAGACAACAGAGACUUUGAAAAAGAUUGGGAACCAUUCAUAUUAGAUUUGCAGAAACAAAGAAAGGUAAUAGACUUGAUGGCAGG
This 393-nucleotide long non-coding RNA is filed under the name Podarcis lilfordi (Lilford's wall lizard). Lineage: Eukaryota; Metazoa; Chordata; Lepidosauria; Squamata; Lacertidae. The record is from RNAcentral.